Trametes elegans is the source of this 101-nucleotide non-coding RNA. The record is from the annotation of a GenBank genome assembly. Lineage: Eukaryota; Fungi; Basidiomycota; Agaricomycetes; Polyporales; Polyporaceae.
GACAUUAUGGCGAAGUGGUUAAGGCGACGAAUCAGAAUCGUACAGGCAGUAUAUGUUUCCCUCUGGGAUCCGGAGCGUACGUUCGAACCCUGCUAGUGUCG